Molecule: long non-coding RNA, 1734 nt
Organism: Nycticebus coucang (slow loris)
Lineage: Eukaryota; Metazoa; Chordata; Mammalia; Primates; Lorisidae
Exons: 4
Source: RefSeq, a predicted model, not a curated record
AUGGACUUGACAGUCAGUGAUGCAGGGUCAGCCUCAGGCUUGAUGUCCAUCACGCAGUCAAACACAGGCGUCUCUGGCACGGGAUCCGGGUCCAGGAAAUCAUCCUCGACUUUCUCCUCCAUCCACUCCGAGUCGAGAUCAUGGAGCUGGCAGAAGAACUUCAGGGGCCCAGAGAAGGUGGGACUGGAGGUCCCUGACAGAUCCCUCCCACCCUGGGGCUUGCUGCAGUAUACUCACCGUGGGUCCCAGCUGUUUCAGAAGUGUCAGCAAGGAGGAGACAAGAGCCCUUGUGUUUUCUCAGGUGCAGCGGAGGUGUCAUCAAGUGCUCCUCAAGACAGGAAGCUCUUGCCUGUAUCUGUACUGGAUCCUGGAGUUGUGCUCAGAACCCAGAGUUCCAUUACUAAAAAGUUGGAAGACCUAUGGCUUAGAACUAAGCCUCUGGCUAUAGUAUGAAGAUUCCAGCUGUAGCCACCUCAGUGAGUCCCAAAUAUUGGAGGUCCCAGCCCAAACGCACAUGGUUUAGUUUAUUGCCAGGAAGAGUGGGACCAAGAAAAUGAACGUGUACAGCUAGACAGCUGGGAUGAGGCUGUCUGCCUAUCACCGUGUAUGAAAGACAAUAGAUUUCUUUUCUAGGUGGGUGACUACAGAAUCACAUGAGGCCACUGUAGUUCUCUGUCCAUGUGCUUGCCCAUUUGCUUGACAAACAUUUACUGAGUGUCUCCCGUGGCCUAGAUCUAUAGUGUAGUACAUAGACCAGGUCCUGGAGACACCAGAUAUGUAUCCCAGGCUUCCCUUUCCCAGCUGCUGACCCAUAUGGCUCCACUCACUAUCUCCAGCCACACUCCUUGUACUUCUUAGGUAAGCCUGCACCUAUGCUGUGCACAUGCUAUUCUGCCUGGAACAUCCCUCUAGCACCCUGCCCCGCUCCCCUGCCUCCCACAUACUUUAUCAAGGUCACUCCUAUUCAUCUUGUAGAUCUCAAUCAGAUGCUUCCUGAAGUGGGUCCUGCUCCAUCACUUAUAGGCACCUCAUGCCUGUCCUUCAUCCCACUAGCAAUGACAAUACUCCUGAAAUGUGCAGGGCCCUGUCCUGAGAGUUUUACAUGUGUUAACUCAUUUCCUCUUCACAGAACCCCUAUGAAGUUGGUACUACUGUUAUCCCCUCCAUUGUACAGACCAGGAAGAUGAAGUGCUAACCAAAGUCACCUAGCUGCUGCUCCCCAUUGCUUACCUCACUGCCGGAGCUCCGCCUCUUGUCAGCUAAGCUGUGGUAUGAGAUUCUCAUAGGAGCAUGACCCCUACUGCAAAGUGCACAUGCAAGGGAUCUAGGUUGUGUGGUACUUAUGAGAAUCUAAUGCCUGAUGAUCUUAAGUGGAGAUGUAAUGUGCUUGAAUCAUCUUGAAACCAUUCCCUGCUGCUGUCUGUGGAAAAAGUGUUUUCUGUGAAACCAGUCCUUGGUGAGGACAUGGGCCAAAGCAUCUAGCACAAGUCCUUGUGUGUAAGUCUAUGAUAAAUAUUUACUAAAUGAGUGAAUGAUCAUGGGAAAAUGAUAAACUUGUAUUCAGUUUUCUUACUUGAUAAAUGGGUAUAAUAAUAUAUGCUUUGAAGAACUGUUAUAAAGACUUUAGACACUAGAGAUGAGAAAUCCAGCAUGGUGCCAGGCAUUUAGUAGGUGCCCAAUACAUGGCAGAUUAUAGUUAUGACAGUAUAUAAUUUUUUUUUGAGACAGUCUCAC